AAAGUUUACUAUCUGCCUCUUUAAAGAAAAAGUCUGCUCACUGCUGUCUCAGAGGAUCAGGCCUUCCCUGCGAGUGUUCUGUAGUUAGGGAUGACUGCCGGCCAGGGGAUCAGCCAGGUCAGUGUAAUGAUGUCUGCAGAGACAUUUACACCCAGAGACAUUGAUGGAAAACAAACGGCUAGACUGGUCAAAUGGGAGGGGUCUUUGUUUUAUGGAAUAAAACGAAGUUCCUUUUCAGUUCCUUCCGAGUAUGAGCAAAAUCCAUGUGAUGUUUUCUCUCCCUUCAUUCUGGGACUGCAAGCAUCGAGGCCAGGCCGGGUUCAUUCCGAGCAGCGAAGGGAGUAUCGACAGACGGGAGCGUACAGUGGAAAGAAUCCCAUCCUUGCCUUCCCCUUCCCUUCUUCCCUGGUCUUCCUCUUCUGCUUCUCCAGCCCCCGUCCUAUGCCUGGCUUUAUGCUAGGUCCAGGAGAUCCACCGGGGAGCUGAAGCCAGUGGCACUGGUCCUUAGCUCUGGACUUGACGGAUCUUAUGUCACACCUUUUGUAGAUGAAAAUGCUGACUCUCCAGAACCCAUUUAUCCAGGGCUGCCAGGUGGCAGGUUCGAGCUGAGGGACCCCUCUCUGCCAGCCCUGAGAACUACUUCCUCACUCGUGCGUUUCUACCUUGUGGCUUUGGGGUGUGCUGACCCAGAGGCUCAUGGAUGGGGCUUGAGCCCGUGGUCAGCCACAUUGGUUCCCAGAAGCAGGGACCGCAGAGGCAUGGACAGCGCUGACCCAGAGUGCUCGGACCCGUCCUGGCAGAGCCAUCUGGGCCUGAGGUUAAGGUUCAGCCCUGCCCUUUCAUGUGAUGGGACCAAGGCAGGGAAGGGGCUGAGCAGACUCGGGGUGGGGCCAGUGGCCAGUGCCCAGCAUCGCUCCAGACCCUGGCCAUUGGCAGCAGGCUCACAUGGACAGAGUGCUCUGGAAACGCCUUGGUUUUAGGAUCAGAAACGUUCAAUCUAGCACUUUCCUCGGGGCUUCUCAUUCUUCCUUUUCUCAAAAAAGAGACAGCUAAGUGACAGUGGAGGAAAUCACCUUACACACUCUGAGCUUGAACUCAGAAGGUUCUCUGAUAAAAGGGGAUGAGAAAGGGGCAGGUACCCUCAGGUAGCAGUAAAUCUACUUUUUCCCUGUCUUUGUAGGGCUGACAAGUCCACCCCACUGACCAACAAAGGCCAACCGAGAGGACCUGUGGAUCUCUCUGCAACAGAAGCUCUGGGUCCUCUGUCCAAUGCUAUGGUCCUGCAGCCUCCUGCACCCAUGCCUAGGAAGUCGCAGGCAACCAAGUUGAAGCCUAAGCGGGUGAAAGCGCUCUAUAACUGUGUGGCUGACAACCCUGAUGAGCUCACCUUCUCCGAGGGGGAUGUGAUCAUCGUGGACGGGGAGGAGGACCAGGAGUGGUGGAUUGGCCACAUUGAUGGAGAUCCUGGUCGUAAAGGCGCAUUCCCGGUGUCAUUUGUGCACUUUAUCGCCGACUGAAUUGCUACUGAAAAAAAGCAUUCACAGUUAUGUUCCUGUUUCGUUAUUGGUACCAAAACUCUUGCCAGAUAACCAGUUUCAUGAACUGUUUGUAUGGCAGCCCGUGUUCUCUAAUGCCACUGCUCUGUUUGAAAAACUCAGAGGCAAUUUUUACAUAUCAGUAAUUGUUUUUAUAAUUUGUGGUUUUCAUGAAACAUUGCUGUGCAUUUAUUAGGAAAAACUGAAUUUCCCAACAGGUGAACUGAAAAGUUAUUUUAACUAUUAUACAUAAUCAAGAUCCUGCCUCUACGGAAUUAGCUAAACCUAAAAAUGUUUGCAUUAAGUGUGUUGGAAAUAAAUUCUUCCUCAUUCCUUGGCCCAGUUCUGGAGUUGGUGACCUUUAGCACGAUUAGUAUUUUAGGCGGCCAGUCAGCUGCUGCUUCAGAAGUCCAUAGCCCAGCUCUGAACUUCCUCGACAAAAUGCCGUCAGUUCACCUUUAAAGACACAUAUUCCUUUGAAAUCCACCCAGUGUUUAAAAAGCAACUUGGAAAUUUACACAUUAGCAUUGUACUUUCUAGCCCUAAUUUGUGAGGUUGCAGCUAUCAUUAUAUUCUGCAUGUAUGUAUAACCUGUUAUGAACAAUCAUACUUAACAAAACUACUGAUGGUUUAUGACAACGUAGGGUAACUACCGUUCAUACCGUUCCAGGUUAUAUAAAACUGCAUUUCCUGAAUUUGGUUAAAAACUAAGGAUGAUGGAUUGCAAAACAGUUCUUUUAAAUUAGUUUAUAUGCUUUAGGUGUUUUGGAAUUUGCCUUCUUGAACUUCCUGAAUCACACAGAAAGCAACUGUACACAGUAGAACUCUGUGGCGCAGACUACGCUGUAUUAACGCAUCACUUGCUGUUUCCUACUGAGUGUACCGCUGCCUUCCCUUCUAGCCCAUGAGAAUGUUCACUCAGCUUAGUGUCUUGUAUUUAUAUAAUACUCCAGCAGGAAUGGUAGUCACACUGUCCAUCUGUUUAUCAUCAAGAACAUAUCAGAAAUAUAUAGGUCCCAGAUAAUACUCCCAAACAUCCCAGUUUUUACUAUUUAAGGCCAUCAUAUCAUUCUUAAGCUACUUGGGGUGGUAGUAGGGGGGAUUAGGUUGUCUAUUAUAAAACCAAAACUCAUUAGUUUAAUGAACUUGACUGUCAUACCUCUAUUUGGUAAUUGUGAGGGUAGGAUUCAUAGUAGGAAUAUUGGAAAUUUUGGCACUCUGAGAAUAAAUAGGCAUAUGAUACCCACUUGGACUUUUAACAAAAGUAAAGGAAUAAAUUUGAGUAUAGGCUUGGAAAGUGAGGCAGCAAUGCUGUUAACUGCAUUUGUCGUGAUGGUGCAUUUGAUUGAAGCAGCUUGUCUUUAUUAUGCAAGACUGUGUAGAGUUUUUUUUUUUUUUGGCAUUGUACUUUUUGUUGUUGUUAUAAAGGAAGACAGAACAAACUGGAAUGUUUUAUGAUGUUGUAUAGCAAUCGCUUUUUGCCUUUCAAAGUUCCGGGUAAAAAUGUGUUAGAUCUGUAGUUUUUUUUGUUUUUGUUUUUUUAAAGCACUACAUCUGUUUUCACUAAUUGUUAAUUUCUGUUGUUUGAACCCUUCAUUUAAUUUUCUCAUAGAUUUAAGUAAACAGAUGUAUUUUGCACAGUGCACUUAUGUCUAUUUUAACAAUCCUCCUGCAUCGGUAUUUUAUAGUCAGCCUUUUGACCACCUGGUGCCAGCUAUAUAAGGAAUAAAGUUGAUUGAUAUCAACAUUAGAACUCCAGUCCCAAACUAAUCUGUCAGGUUCACUGGUACAUAAAUACCUAGGAAAUAUUUUUCCAGUCUACAAUUUGGUGCUAUUGUGCAGUAACUAAUAGUACUCUUACCAGAGGAGAAAUUAUAUUAACGACCCUGCUAAUAUCCUUUCUUAGUUAUUUGCUCUUUGCAAAUUAAAAAAGCAACUGAGAGAAAGAAAAACAUUGUAGAUAUCUAUUUAUAUUUAAAGUUUAUGUUUCAUGAACUGCAGCUGAGGAUUCUGGCAUUUUGCAUGCCAUUCUGCAUCAGAUCUGGGAUGAUGGCUCAGAAUAUGUACACAGACUAAGAGUAACUGUGAUCUGUUAAGGGGUGGAUAACAGUAUGCAGCUUAGGAUGCUACUUUGAGAUGUAUGAUAUUCAGUUCAUUCACCUGAUUACUUUGGUUGCAGCACAACUGUAUAUAUUGUAUAACCGAAAUUGAUUAUUUUCAUUGUCCUUAAUGCAGUGAUUUAUAAUUAGAGCAUGUUUAAUAAGUUUACUCUUCUUGUUAACUAGUCAUUUGACUGGAAAAAAAUAAAAUACUUUUAAAUGG
Molecule: small RNA, 3857 nt
Filed under: Pongo abelii (Sumatran orangutan)
Lineage: Eukaryota; Metazoa; Chordata; Mammalia; Primates; Hominidae
Description: retained intron
Source: RNAcentral